ACGUACACUCCUACGGGAGGCAGCAGUGGGGAAUUUUACGCAAUGGGGGAAACCCUGACGUAGCGACACCGCGUGAGCGAAGAAGCCCUUUGGGGUGUAAAGCUCUGUCAGCUGGAACGAAAACAAUGACGGUACCAGCAGAGGAAGCAUCGGCUAACUACGUGCCAGCAGCCGCAGUAAGACGUAGGAUGCGAGCGUUGUCCGGAUUUAUUGGGCGUAAAGAGUUCGUAGGUGGUUUGUUAAGUUUGGUGUUAAAGAUCGGGGCUCAACCCUGGGACUGCACUGAAUACUGGCAGACUCGAGUGUGGUAGAGGCUAGUGGAAUUCCCAGUGUAGCGGUGAAAUGCGUAGAUAUUGGGAAGAACACCGGUGGCGUAGGCGACUAGCUGGGCCAUAACUGACGCUGAGGAACGAAAGCCAGGGGAGCGAAUGGGAUUAGAAACCCCUGUAGUCCC
RNAcentral lists this ribosomal RNA (454 nucleotides) under uncultured organism. RNAcentral's name for it is "partial 16S ribosomal RNA". It matches the Rfam family "Bacterial small subunit ribosomal RNA", at positions 329 to 797 of the family's 1533-position model. The record is from RNAcentral.